RNAcentral lists this long non-coding RNA (205 nucleotides) under Physcomitrium patens. RNAcentral's name for it is "long non-coding RNA (PPAT_LNC009864)". Lineage: Eukaryota; Viridiplantae; Streptophyta; Bryopsida; Funariales; Funariaceae. The record is from RNAcentral.
AGGUGAUUGUUUUUGCAAUUUCUAUUUCAUCAUAGUUUAGUAUUGAUGUCCUUUGCUACUGCUUUUGAUACAACAUUUAUUGUUACUGAUUCCUUUGUUGUUGCUGUUUUAAGAUCUAUUUUUGAGCAAUCUUGUCGCUUGCUUUUGUUGCAUUUUUUGACUUGGUAGUGGCAUCAUCUUUGACUGACUAUGGCUUUGAUGGAUA